GAAGGAGCUUGUUCCAAAAGCACAGCCUUUGCCCUAUUUCGAUCGGCCCUUCAUUCCCAGAAGGUCGAUGAAGCAUCCAACUGUGCCCAGAGAACCAAAAUUUCACAUACCUCAACAUAAGAAGAUCAAAUGCUGUCUAUCUUGGAACGACCUCAACACUUUCGCUUACCAACAAUGAGGCAACAUAGGGAAGAUAAGAAUAGAAGCAUUUCGGGCAUUAUCAUUCCUCAUCAAAUCACUAAAUAACUUAAAUCAUAAUUCUUUUUCCCUUUCCCCCUUCAAUAUUCUUUUCAAAAAUUUGUACAUGAAGCAACCUAUUUAGUUGCCAUUUUUGAGACUUUUGGUUUGUUUUUCAAGUACAGUGAAAUUAAUGAAAAUCCUGCUGGGUUAUGUCUCUUCAUUUUCAUUCUCCAUAUCUUCAUGUUCUGAGGAUAGAGAUGAAUUGUUGUUCAUAGACUAAAAUGAAUUGGACUGCAGAAUAAAG
Molecule: unclassified non-coding RNA, 484 nt
Filed under: Hevea brasiliensis (rubber tree)
Lineage: Eukaryota; Viridiplantae; Streptophyta; Magnoliopsida; Malpighiales; Euphorbiaceae
Source: RNAcentral